RNAcentral lists this long non-coding RNA (2205 nucleotides) under Mytilus galloprovincialis (Mediterranean mussel). Lineage: Eukaryota; Metazoa; Mollusca; Bivalvia; Mytilida; Mytilidae. The record is from RNAcentral.
UCUGGGUCAACUUAUAAUGCAGUUAUUGAGUUUUGCACAAUUUUGAUUUGCACUUGCAUCAUUUAGAAUAUAGCACAACUCUUCACUCUUUUUUUUUAUUUUAACCAUUUUCUGAAUAAAUAAUUUUGUGUUUGCAUUAUGAAUGGUGGUGGAUGUACGUCAUUAAUUGAUAUAUUCAGAAUAGUGUGGGAGAAAGUUGCAUGUACAGGUCUGAAAAAACUUAGUAUCUCUCCUCUCUAAGACAGAGAGAGGAAGGCUAUAAUUGCAUUCAUCUUGUCUGUCUGUUCUUCAAAAACAAAUAUUUCCCUCAUAUCUUUCUCCGCUACUGCCAAACAAAAUGAAUUUAUAUUUAAUCAGUCACUUAACAAUUAUGAUUUGUAACAUGUGAACACUGUUUGAAUCUUUUACAGCUAAUUUCCUAAUAAAUGCAGAGUAAAACUUUGGUAGGCUUGCUUGCUCUGUAUGUAUAAAUGUUAAUUCAAGCUUUCUAAUUAAAAUUACAACAAAUGGAAGUUGUUAACGACCUCGACUGGCUAUACAGCCCUUGCACAGUAGGGACUUUUUAGCCUAAUUAACAUUGACAUCUUGAAUCAGUAUAUAUAGGCAUAUUUUACCCAUAUAUAUUACGGUAUGUUAAAUUUAAUUGGAGGUUAUCCCAAUUACAAUUGAACAAUAUACAAACAUAACAAGCAAGAUAACCAAAGUCUUGCUUUACAUGCAUUAGGAAAUUAGCUGUAAACAACAACUCCCUGUUUGCUGAUACUUUGAAGUUUUCAAUAUGUUAAGUACAAAAAGUUAUCAAAUAAUUUUGUCCUCAUACAGAAAUUUGUGAGUUGUAAUGUGUGCAAGCUUAUUGUGUCUGUCAGACACUCAAUUUGUGUGUUUUUAAGAUACUUUGAAAUAUUAAUGGUAUGCUUAGCAAGACAAUGCAAGCAUUGUUGAAAAAUUUACUCUUCUUUGUAAAACUGUCAAAAUGAGAGAUACCUGGUAAUUUAUUUUUAUUGUCUUAUAAUAUUUAUUAAUUGCAUAUUUUGUGUAAUAUUUAUUAGAACCAACUGCAAUAAUAACAAGAACUAUCUUUAAAAAAGAUAUCCGACGUAUUUAAAUUUGAGUAUAUGUUUAAAGCUAUCAUUUCGAUAACCUUCAGAAGCACAAAAAUACCAUUUAAAUAACGUUUUCUCUGUUUGUGUUCAGUAUUCUCGGUCCUCGUAUCUUUCUGUUUACAUUCACCAAAACCCCCGCGGAAAUCUCACAUGCGUAGGUGCGUUCUAAAAGUCAUGUACGUUCGUACAACAAAGUUUACAUUAAAAAUUAUAUAAUUGUCCCGAAUAAACAGCUGUAAUGGAUGCAAAGAGCUUUUGGAGAAACAAUUAUUUUAAUAAAAAUAUAAAUCUUUGUAAGAUCUAGUUCAAAUAUUUAUAGUUUUUCACUUGCUUUCAUCACGAUAUAAUUAACGAGACGUUUUUUCAAACACAACCAAAUCACCCACCACGACAGCAUUUUGUCCAAUCACAGAAAGGAUUUUUGAGCAUGCGUAUUCUGUUGCCAAAGUUACGCAUCCUUAAGUUCAAAGGGCACAAACCGAAACUAUACCGACUACGUCGGAAAAACCAUUGAAAGGUAUAAUCUAUAUGAAAUUACAUUGCUUUUGUAUUAUGAAUGAUUUUAUAUAACAAUGACAUGUUGUGUACUUAAUUUUUUUCUAUAUAUUAUGGGUUCUCAAAUUUAGUUUAGAGUGUACAGGACAUACACCCCCUCCUUUCAAUGGAAAAAUACCUAAUGAGACACCAAUUACAACUUAAAAGAAAAGAAAAAAAAAACAAUGAGAAUCUCACAUUAAAAGGAAAAUCUGAAAGGCUGACCAUCUUAAUAUUUAUUUUUUUAUGUUUAUAGUUAUAAUCUUAAUUAUCAUAACAAAUUAUCUAUUUGUUCUCAGUGACUAAAAUUAUAUACGUCAGUACUAGAAAACCCUCCUUUUUCUCGCAAUGUACUUACGGUAAUAAUAUAUAAAACAACUAAUGGUGGGUGAUCAAUUGUAUUUUCACUUUUAUGUAUCUGAUAGCCGUCUCUUGUUAUGCAUCUGUCCUAAAUCUUCAACUUUCUAAAAUAAUCAGUUAGAAAAUAUAUUUUAGAUUGGAAAUCACUAUUUUUUAUCAGAAUUAUAUCCUACUUUUAACGGUGGUGUGAAAAUUCCAAUAUGCAGAU